RNAcentral lists this long non-coding RNA (1566 nucleotides) under Felis catus (domestic cat). RNAcentral describes it as "lncRNA (ENSFCAG00000048655.1)". Lineage: Eukaryota; Metazoa; Chordata; Mammalia; Carnivora; Felidae. The record is from RNAcentral.
AACUUGCCCCCUAAGAGUGCACGUCGGGGGCACGUCUGUGCCUUUGCCCAGUGUGUCCCCCUCUGCCGGGACGCCCUGCCUUCUCUCUGCCACCUGAGUUUUGCUGGCGUUCAAGGCCAGAAGGACAUUUCAUCUCCUCCGAAAAGCCUUCCACGGCUCGUCUAGUCCUCGUCAGCCACCGUCUUCGUGACACCUUGACUGCUUUUGCAUCACCGAACCUACCCCCUUGAUCGUGUGGUCUUUUUGAUGAGAAUCGUCUCCGUGCCUCCAGUCCUCAAAGGGAAAGGGGGUUCCGCCAGACACGGGUGGAGUAAGAAAGAAGCUUGCUAGCUGCUUCAGGUCAGACGGGUCUUCGAAGUCUUUGGAGCAGUCCCACACACAGCGCCCCCGUCCCCACCCAAGACGGACAAGUUCAGCAGACACAGAUCCUAGAGGCGCUGGCCUCCAAGCAUCGCUCAGGGGAAUUGCCAGCCAUGGUUUGGAAACAGAGCUGCCCUGAUGACUUUCCAUACACCGUGGACUCUCACACGAGCCUGUUUAUCGUCACACACAUGAAAGCAACAUGAAAAUGCUGAGGUUGGGACCCACGGCGGGAAGCCUUACAAUCAAGAAGGAGAGAAAACUACACACUUAACUACCAAUGAAACGCCAAGCAGAAACGAAGAUGUCCUCACCAGACGAUGGUCUUCAAGACCAGAAGCUCAGCUCCACAGCCCAGAACUUAGACACAACUCCUAAGGAAAUUAGGAAAACCUCAAAUUAACUAGAAUUCCUCUUCUGCUGUGCCAGUAGCAUGGAAACUCAAGAAAGAAAUUAAAUUUAAAAAAUCACAUUUCUUGCACCCUGAAAUCAAUACCUACAAUAUUGCCCAACUGGGGAAGCAGGACAUUUCCAUAAAAAGAGAGGCACUGUCAUUGGCUAGUAGAUACGGGGAGUAAAUAAGCUAUAUAGCAGACACUUUCUACAGAAAUUCAAGGCCUCUGCAGCCCACAGAGGUGGAGAGAACAUCAUGGAUGGCGGCGGCCUUCUUGCAAUAUUAACCGACCAGAGUGGUCAAGGUGAUGCAUAGUGCCCAACAAACCAGGUGCUAUAAUAAGGAAACCCCAAAUGAAUUUUUUUUAAUGUUUACUCAUUUUUGAGAGACAGAGACAGAGCACAAGCGAGGGUGGGGCAGAGAGAGACACACACAGAGAAUCCAAAGCAGGCUCCAGGCUCUAAGCUGUCAGCACGGAGCCCGACAAGGGGCUCAAAUUCAUGAACAGUGAGAUCAUGAUCUGAGCUGAAGUCAGACACCUAACUGACGCAGCCACCCAGGCGCCCCAGGAAACUAAUGAUAAUAGGAGUUUACUCCCUGCAUGUAUAAUAGAUUAACAGGGGUAAUCCUGGUUGGUAGGUGAUUUCUUCCACAUGGUCAUUCAAGGCCCCCGGAUGUUAGGUCUCCCCAGCACAAGGAGGGAUCUUGUCACAACACGGAGAAUUACUAAUGGAAGAAACCAUCCUAGUUCCCAAUUGCCUAGUGCUUCUUGAGUGCCGGGCACUGCCCAUUCAACCCUCACAAUAGUCCUU